This 520-nucleotide ribosomal RNA is filed under the name uncultured bacterium. Its description in RNAcentral is "bacterial SSU rRNA". It matches the Rfam family "Bacterial small subunit ribosomal RNA", at positions 9 to 518 of the family's 1533-position model. The record is from RNAcentral.
GAGUUUGAUUAUGGCUCAGGAUGAACGCUAGACGACAGGCUUAACACAUGCAAGUCGAGGGGCAGCAUAAAAGUAGCAAUACUUGGUGGCGACCGGCGCACGGGUGAGUAACGCGUAUGCAACCUACCUAUCAGAGGGGAAUAACCCGGCGAAGGUCGGACUAAUACCGCAUAAAGCAGGGGCACCGCAUGGUGAUAUUUGUUAAAGAAAUUCGCUGGAUAGAUGGGCAUGCGUUCCAUUAGGUAGUUGGUGAGGUAACGGCUCACCAAGCCGACGAUGAAUAGGGGAACCUGAGAGGUUGGUCCCCCACACUGGUACUGAGACACGGUCCAAACUCCUACGGGAGGCAGCAGUGAGGAAUAUUGGUCAAUGGGCGAAAGCCUGAACCAGCCAUGUCGCGUGAAGGAAUGAAGGUCCUAUGGAUUGUAAACUUCUUUUGCAGGAGGGUAAAGUGAGCUACGUGUAGUUCAUUGCAAGUACCCUGCGAAUAAGCAUCGGCUAACUCCGUGCCAGCCGCUGC